GCCGAGCUGCGUUUGCCACAAGAUUCCGGAAGGAGAGCACUGUGGGACCCACGGGGCGCAUCUGAUGUGCAUUUCUGUGUGACAACAGAUACACCGUUUGGCCUGCUGCUAGCCGCCCUGCAAAGACCAUCUGUAGCCUGGGCCUUCAGUGAUCCGCUCCAAGAUUGCCACUGAGAACCAUCAUCAAACAAGUAGGCAAACCCCUCAACACUCCUUGAAGAACUGGGGCCUUAUGUAUCAACGCUGGCGGCGCCAGAAAACCUUGCGUACGCCAAAAUUGGCGCACACGUCCAGAUUUAUCAUUGCGAAACGAGCGUCGGUUCCAGCGCUAAUCAACGCAAAGUCAGGAGGUGGUGUAGAAGUUGGCGUUGAGCCGAUACUUGCGUUGAUGGCACUUUGGCGACGCUGUGUGGCGGUGUUUGGUCACUCACUAUGUGACAAGCGUGCACCACAUCCCCGUGGCCGAGCAGCACGUUGCCCCACAUGACGAACCAGCAGCAGACGGAGGGAUGCGAGCUGAUCCCUGCCGGGCCGCCGUGUCUCGCGGGAGAAUCUCAUCGCCACAGUGUGAAUGGGUAAGAAGUGAAUACACAGUUCAAUGAGCCAAAUUAAUUUAUUUUCGCCACCAGACGCUCGAGGACAUUUACGAGCUGGUCCAGCCGCUCGUUGAUCCCCGCGACCCCCCUGAUGAUUUCUUCCUGCGAUUGCAGGACCGCCUCCAUGAGGACCCUUCCACUGCGUCUGGGUGGUCCAGCGGAAGCGCCGCGGCUGGUGGACGCUCCACCGCUUGUCGGCGCGCUGGUGCUGAUGCUGGUGCUGGUGCUGGUGCUGGGGCCGGGGUGGCCCGAAUGCCGCUGGUCCUGGCCGACAACUCGGCGGACGGGCUGCCGCGGGCCGGGGCUCCGCAAGCCGGCGACACGGCCGACACAUUGAUUUCUGUGACACAAUAAAAAUAUUGGAUCAUUUCAAUUCCUGCUUCUGUGUAUCUGUUGCGUUUACGUCUCUCUCCACGUUAUCAUAGGUAAUGUAAUCCAGUAUUUAGAGGUCAGUUAUGCACAUUACAGUUGUUUAUUGCAUAAAAACUUAUCGAAAAAUGAAGUAAAGGGCGAAGUAUAAAUCACGUCUAAAAAUAGACUGAAUCCCGACGUUGAAAUGAAGUUUAAACUUAGACUAGACGUCUAAUAUACGUCUUUUGCUCAGUAGGAUGGCAAAGCAUGUGGACAUUUGUGUGACAUGCCACUUACCCUAUAAUAAUAAUCGCCACCACCCGCUGCUCAAACGGCGUGAGGGUCUCCUCCCCAGGACCCCCACCUGUCUGGCCGGUACUCCUCCGGAGGGCAGCUGUACGCCGCUUGACCUCCACCUUGAGGUCCGACCACUUUUUUUUAAUCUCCGCGGGGGUGCGUGUCUCGGAACCCAUCGCGUUCACCCUCUCGCAAACUUUCUCCCACUCCAAGCGUUUUUGUUUUGCACUGAAGCCACUGGAUAGGCUGCCAAACAAAACACGCUGUCGCUCCUCCACCUCCGCCACCAGCACCUCCACCUCGCAUGCCGUAAAUUUAGUUUUUCUUGUCAUUUUGUCUGCGUGCGAGGACAGGGAGACCCUAAUUAAAUAAAUCUGCAUAUUUAUAGGAGGGCGUAACGGGGACGGGCCCAGUCACUCCGACAUCUGCGCUCAAUUCCACGCUGAUUGGGAUUUAUCAAGGAAACACACGUGGAUUUCGGCGCCCGCACACAUUGAUACAUACAGAUUUUUUUCAGCGUGACGGACCUUGCAUGCGCUCGUUUCUGGUAUGAGUCCCACGCAAGUGUUGAUUCAUAAGGCCCCUGGUGAUGCUGUCAAGCGUUCAGAGCUUAUAAUUUUAAUUAUAGUUUAGUUUCUCCAAAUUCCUCUUCAAAAUUGAUCCUUGUAACCCCAUUAACGUAGGUUAAAUUUUUCCUUAUUCACUCACUAUCAUUAACCUCCAGUUUUAGCUUAGUUCAAACCAUUACGUCAUUCAUUCAUUAGAUGUUCUUUUAUUUUCCCAUUAUUUGAUCGUCAUUUAGUGAACUUAUGUUAUCACCUAGUAUUUGUCAAUAAAUUGUCCAUUUAAUUUUAAGUUGUCGUCUCUUUGUGGUCCUUCCAGAAGUGAAGUCCCUAAAAUAAGAAUUCCGGCCUCAGAUGCGAGAAUUAAUUUAAAUCUGUUUAAGACUGAUAUAAGAACGUUUGAUUACUCAAUUGAACUUUGUUUUGUCUUUUUCCCACUGGAAAAGGUGGGUGGUGCCCCUUCAACGAGUACAUAAAUGUCAUUAUUUAAUUCUAUUAUUUUAGGACAUUUAUUUUGAAUUCGAAUCGCUACAUGUCUCAUUUCCAGUCUCAUUUCCCUCAUGUCCUCAGUAAGUCUCUCUAUAGCUUUGUACGCACCUCCUCCAUCUAAUAUAGAGUGCACUAUGGCAGUUGCACUCCCUCCAGGGGAAGCGUGACGCGCCUGGAUGUUGACCAGUGGCGAUUGCUCUAAGACUGCAAGGGAAGCUCAGCGUCCCUUAAAAUGUCACCCCCCCCAAAAAAAGAAAAAGUGGUGAAAUACGUACUGCUGUGUGUACAUUUCAUUAACUAAAUAUGCGCUAGAAAGCCUUCAUCUUUUGUUCAUCUUUUGUUCUUAUCACACUGUAAUAAGAAGCUGACAAAUCACAGGUAACCGGCACAACUUUGUUCUCAUUCAUCCUCGCAGCGCCUCAGCGCUUCACACAGCCGGACGCUCAGCGUGUGCUGACUUCAAUGUGGAAGCUCAAAGUGGGUUGUUCCAGCAACGAAACUAGAUGCUCAUUGGAUAAAUGCUGGGCUUUGUCCUGCCCAUCGGACGCUCAGCGUCUCUGGAGUUCUAUGACGAGAGGGCGGUCCCAACUUUCUCGCGGACGCUGAGCUUCUGCAUCCAUGACUGGAUGAGCUAUCUGAGGC
Molecule: non-coding RNA, 2938 nt
Organism: Xyrichtys novacula (pearly razorfish)
Lineage: Eukaryota; Metazoa; Chordata; Actinopteri; Labriformes; Labridae
Source: the annotation of a GenBank genome assembly